This 506-nucleotide ribosomal RNA is filed under the name uncultured bacterium. RNAcentral describes it as "partial 16S ribosomal RNA". It matches the Rfam family "Bacterial small subunit ribosomal RNA", at positions 30 to 523 of the family's 1533-position model. The record is from RNAcentral.
AUUGAACGCUGGCGGCAGGCCUAACACAUGCAAGUCGAACGGCAGCACAGAAGAGCUUGCUCUUUGGGUGGCGAGUGGCGGACGGGUGAGUAAUGUCUGGGAAACUGCCCGAUGGAGGGGGAUAACUACUGGAAACGGUAGCUAAUACCGCAUAACGUCGCAAGACCAAAGUGGGGGACCUUCGGGCCUCACACCCUCGGAUGUGCCCAGAUGGGAUUAGCAAGUAGGUGGGGUAAUGGCUCACCUAGGCGACGAUCCCUAGCUGGUCUGAGAGGAUGACCAGCCACACUGGAACUGAGACACGGUCCAGACUCCUACGGGAGGCAGCAGUGGGGAAUAUUGCACAAUGGGCGCAAGCCUGAUGCAGCCAUGCCGCGUGUAUGAAGAAGGCCUUCGGGUUGUAAAGUACUUUCAGCGGGGAGGAAGGCGGUGAGGUUAAUAACCUUGCCGAUUGACGUUACCCGCAGAAGAAGCACCGGCUAACUCCGUGCCAGCCGCCGCGGUAA